This 99-nucleotide small nuclear RNA is filed under the name Octodon degus (degu). The record is from RNAcentral. Lineage: Eukaryota; Metazoa; Chordata; Mammalia; Rodentia; Octodontidae.
GCUUUGGCAGCACAUACUAAAACUAGAACGAUACAGAGAAGAUUAGCAUGGCCCCUGUGCAAGGAUGACACGCAAAUUUGUGAAGCAUUCCAUAUUUUU